This is a long non-coding RNA of Lutra lutra (Eurasian river otter), 1211 nucleotides long. RefSeq lists it as uncharacterized. The transcript has 3 exons. Lineage: Eukaryota; Metazoa; Chordata; Mammalia; Carnivora; Mustelidae. The record is from RefSeq and is a predicted model, not a curated record.
GGGAAUGCUCAGAGAUGCUGACGCACAUGUGACCUCAGUGGAGCUGGCAGCUGGAUCUGCACUUGGACUGGAGUUCCCAGAACCGUGGGGCUGGAGAGAAGAACCUAGGAGUUUCUCAGAAGUUACCUAAAUGGAUCCUCCUCCACUUUUGGUUUUCACCACUAAAUGGGACACCAAUGGGGUAAAACAACUGCCAUGAAGUAAGCCCGGUAAAGUCCCUCAUGCCUGCCACUGAAUCUUUCUAAGCAUAACAAGUGACUCUCUUCCUUUGAACGUGUACAAAUGCCCUCUAGAAGCACCCAGCACUGGGUUCUGAUGCCCAGUAAGUGAGCAAGAGAACAGGAAUACUGAACAGGAACUAGAAAGAAGCAACGUCAUGGGGAGAAAGGACAAGAGCAGAUGUCACCCGAUGCUGGGACCUCCAUGCACACACACUCUGACAGUGCAAUGGACUCAGCUGGGAGAACGGAUAGUCCUUCAGGGCCCUUGAGGGGAGAGGAAGCACAGUGACUUGCAGUUCCUGGAAAUUUGCAAAUGUGCCUGGAAUUAUGGAAAUGUACCCCGUCUUUCUUGAGGAUGUAGCUCCCCUGACCUUGUAAGAAAGCCUGACGGUGCCAUCCAUGGUUGGAUCCUGAGGCCCCACCAACCCAUAGUGAUGGCCGCCAGGCAUCCUUCCAGAUUUCCUCCCCUCUCACAUGACAAGAGGAGAAAGGGAUGGCUCUCACUACCAGGGACUAAUUUCUUAUAGUUAAUGACCUUUUAGAAAAGAAACAGCUCAGCCUUCUCACUCUUAUACAAUGGCUCCUGAAUUCUUGGGGGAGUAACUAGGCUUAUUCCUGCUUCAAAGACAGGAAGCCGGGGGCAGAAAUGGAAGGGGACAAGAACAAAAGGGAACAUUCCCUGACUGCCCACUAUAUACUAAGCAUGCUUGGUGAAGCAAGAUGUACUCCCUUGCGGAUAUUUCACAGCAAACCUUCCAGAUGAGGAAACCCAGGCUGAGAACCACUCAAGUUCACAAGCAAUCAGAUGGCAUUGCCAGGAUCCUAGCUCAAGCUCCACUCUGCAACAUCUAAAAUGGAGAAGAAAGAAAAGACAGUAAUAAAAAAAGAAAUCCUUACUUAUAAAAUCAAUUUCAAAGAACUGUUCUCUGAUGUCCCCCAAGAGCAUUCCAGUAUCCUUUCUUCCCUCUGCACCACGUGCUCCUUACACAU